This is a long non-coding RNA of Culex pipiens pallens (northern house mosquito), 187 nucleotides long. RefSeq lists it as uncharacterized. Lineage: Eukaryota; Metazoa; Arthropoda; Insecta; Diptera; Culicidae. The transcript has 2 exons. The record is from RefSeq and is a predicted model, not a curated record.
UUUUGCAAUUCCGAAAAACGCUUAUUUAAUGGAAUUUUAUGUCAAACAUUCAUGUGUUUAGUAAAUUCAUCGUUCAAAACAAAACAAUAUUGAAAAAUGUUACUUUUCGAUACUAGUGCUGAAAAGUAUUAAUUUUCCAUUCUGUUAUUUUUGGUAGGGAAAAGUAGGCCGUUUCGUUUCUCCAGAA